GACGAACGCUGGCGGCGUGCCUAAUACAUGCAAGUCGAGCGGACUGAAUGGGAGCUUGCUCUUGUUCGGUCAGCGGCGGACGGGUGAGUAACACGUGGGCAACCUGCCCGCAAGACCGGGAUAACUCCGGGAAACCGGAGCUAAUACCGGAUAACACCGAAGACCGCAUGGUCUUUGGUUGAAAGGCGGCGCAAGCUGCCACUUGCGGAUGGGCCCGCGGCGCAUUAGCUAGUUGGUGAGGUAACGGCUCACCAAGGCGACGAUGCGUAGCCGGCCUGAGAGGGUGACCGGCCACACUGGGACUGAGACACGGCCCAGACUCCUACGGGAGGCAGCAGUAGGGAAUCUUCCGCAAUGGGCGAAAGCCUGACGGAGCGACGCCGCGUGAGCGAAGAAGGCCUUCGGGUCGUAAAGCUCUGUUGUGAGGGACGAAGGAGCGCCGUUUGAAGAAGGCGGCGCGGUGACGGUACCUCACGAGGAAGCCCCGGCUAACUACG
This 497-nucleotide ribosomal RNA is filed under the name uncultured bacterium. RNAcentral's name for it is "partial 16S ribosomal RNA". It matches the Rfam family "Bacterial small subunit ribosomal RNA", at positions 28 to 505 of the family's 1533-position model. The record is from RNAcentral.